Molecule: non-coding RNA, 648 nt
Organism: Labrus mixtus (cuckoo wrasse)
Lineage: Eukaryota; Metazoa; Chordata; Actinopteri; Labriformes; Labridae
Source: the annotation of a RefSeq genome assembly
AGAAUCCAGAGUGUGAAGUUUCAGAGCCACUCAGCGCUCUGUGUUCACUCAGACAACAUGUCAACAUUAUUAUUGUUAUCGUGGCUCGUUGGUGUUUGUCUUUGUGUUGAAGUCAAACAAACUCCUCCGGCUCUCCUCAGACGACCCGGAGGAACAGUCCAGCUGGUCUGCACACAUAACAAGACCGACUUCACACUCAUGCAGUGGUACCAGAAAACUCCUGGAGACAACGCUCUGAAACGCAUCGGACAUGUGUCUUACAGCACCAUUGAGCCAGAGGAGGCCUUCAAGAAGCAUUUUAACAUCAAGGGAGAUAUGAUCGGAGAGAAAGAAAAGAACGGUUCUCUGGUUAUAGCCGACCUGAAGGCACCAGAUCACAGCGCAGUGUAUUACUGUGCAGAUAGCUAUGCACACUGACUGCUAAUCCCCUCUCAUUGAUACAAAAACUCUAAACCAACUCUGAUUGUUUGAUAUUAGAAAAGAAAGAGACCACAAACAGCCAGCUGCUCCAGGUUAUCUGUCACAUCCUGUUAACAGUGAUGCUGUUUCAUCUCCUGUGUCCUUUUUAAAUCUCACACAAAGAGGCAACAGCUGGAUCAACGUCGCUCACAUUGAUUUGAUGUCAGACUCAAAAUCUAGUUCAAUAAA